UAUGCGACCGGCGCACGGGUGAGUAACACGUAUCCAACCUGCCGAUGACUCGGGGAUAGCCUUUCGAAAGAAAGAUUAAUACCCGAUGGCAUAGUUCUUCCGCAUGGUAGAACUAUUAAAGAAUUUCGGUCAUCGAUGGGGAUGCGUUCCAUUAGGUUGUUGGCGGGGUAACGGCCCACCAAGCCUUCGAUGGAUAGGGGUUCUGAGAGGAAGGUCCCCCACAUUGGAACUGAGACACGGUCCAA
This 245-nucleotide ribosomal RNA is filed under the name uncultured bacterium. Its description in RNAcentral is "partial 16S ribosomal RNA". It matches the Rfam family "Bacterial small subunit ribosomal RNA", at positions 88 to 334 of the family's 1533-position model. The record is from RNAcentral.